AGAGUUUGAUCAUGGCUCAGAAUCAACGCUGGCGGCGUGCCUAACACAUGCAAGUCGAACGCGGUUAGUAGCAAUACUAACUGAGUGGCAAACGGGUGAGUAACACGUGGGUGACCUACCUUCGAGUGGGGGAUAACGUCCCGAAAGGGACGCUAAUACCGCAUAACAUCCUGUCCUUGAACGGAUGGAGAUCAAAGCCGGGGAUCGUAAGACCUGGCGCUUGAUGAGGGGCCCGCGUCUGAUUAGCUAGUUGGUGAGGUAACGGCCCACCAAGGCGACGAUCAGUAUCCGGCCUGAGAGGGCGGACGGACACACUGGGACUGAGACACGGCCCAGACUCCUACGGGAGGCAGCAGUGGGGAAUUGUUCACAAUGGGCGCAAGCCUGAUGACGCAACGCCGCGUGGAGGAUGAAGGUCUUCGGAUUGUAAACUCCUGUUGCUCGGGACGAAAAGCUUCGACCUAACACGUCGAGGUCUGACGGUACCGAGUGAGGAAGCCCCGGCUAACUCUGUGCCAGCAGCCGCGGUAAUACAGAGGGGGCAAGCGUUGUUCGGAAUUACUGGGCGUAAAGGGCGCGUAGGCGGCCCGCUAAGUCGAACGUGAAAUCCCCGAGCUCAACUCGGGAACUGCGUCCGAUACUGGCGGGCUUGAAUCCGGGAGAGGGAUGCGGAAUUCCAGGUGUAGCGGUGAAAUGCGUAGAUAUCU
Molecule: ribosomal RNA, 707 nt
Filed under: uncultured bacterium
Lineage: Bacteria
Description: bacterial SSU rRNA
Rfam family: Bacterial small subunit ribosomal RNA
Source: RNAcentral